GAUGAUGAUGAUACUCCUAAAAAAAUACCUUCUUCAUUAUAGUGGCCAAAGGACUCUUCAGUAUUUGGAAGAAGCCAAAAUCAUGUUAUUUCAUAUGGGUACAUGAUUGCAAAUUGGAUUGAAAUUUGGUCAACUCUUCUAAGACUCUUCUUUACAUUUAUACUCAACACAUAAAAGGUCAGUUCCUUUGAGUUUUCUUUGUGGUUGUUAUAGGCGACAGAGCCUAUAAUGUGGUUGUUAUAGGGGAGAGAGCCUAUAAAUGUGUGGUUCACUGUGGAACCCAUGUCAGACAGAGGUUCACAUACUUGCUGUUCAGCUUGGGAUUUUGGAUGGUGUCUGAAUCUGCAAUUGGCUACUGUUGAUGUGCUUUCAUUUGGUUAUCUCUACUCUGACUAUGCAUUUUUCAUGUUGCUUUGUAUAUUUUGAGGAUAUAGUUUUCUUGAUUCCAAGGACUUGGUUUGUUUUGGUGUUAUAUAGGAGAGAGCUGUGAAUGUACUGUCGGAUUUGAAAGUUUUGAGCCUUUUGAUUCAACAGGUUACUUUUUUCCUGGAGUGUUUGUUCUGGAAUAGGUGUCCUAGUAUGAUGUGGCAAUGCUGGUAUUUAUUUAUGUUCAGAUUUAUGAAUCUGAGUAUUAGCCGUGCAUCUCUUUGUUGGAUAUAAUCAAGAUAUAAGACAUAAGUCUGUUUUGCAGUGAGUUGAACAUUUGUAGAUACUUGAUACAUUUUGUAGUGAGCUGAUCAAUUUUUUAAAAUCCCUUCCUAAAGUUUUAUUGCUACCUGAUGUUUUCAGGUUUUGCUGUUGUUGAUUUCUUUGAUCUAUUGCUAUAAAGAACCCUCGUUAUGGAUUUUUGGAUUAUAGAUAUCAAGAAUUUAUUAAUUCCUUUAAUCUUCUUUUAUUGAUCAGUUAUCGAGACUUGUUUGCAUAAUUUUUGGAUUAUUGGAUGUAGUUCUUCAUCAUUGGAUAACCGAGAUACGUGUUUAUCCGUUUUGCAGCGAGAUGAAUCUAGAUCAAUUUUGUGAUUCUUGAAAAUUUGGAUAGCAACAGAGAACGGUUCCAGAUAAAUCGAAUGAACUGUGAACUUGAUUUUUAUUCCUUGAUUCUAAAGUUUUGUUUGUUCGUGAGAUCCGUCGCUCAGUUUUGUUUGCUUCGUCAUGUUUCGAUUUCAGGAUUUGCUUUGUUGAUCUGUUGAUCUGAAGAAGUCUAUUGGAUAUAAGUUUUGAUAAACUGGAUAACAACAUAGAACAGCUCCAGAUAAAAAUCAAAUUGAACUGUGAACAUGUGUUUCUUGAUUUGCUCUUGGAUUUUGGUUUCAUGAUUCCAAAAUUUGAUUUUUCACGUUUCUUGAUUUGUUAUCUUGAUUGUUUACUCUGAGAAAUCUUGAUUUCAGGGAUCGUUGUUCUUGUCCAUUCAUGCUAUGGUUUUCUCAGAUUGUAGAUAUGAAGAAUUUUACAUGAUAACACUUCUAUUCACUCUACUUUUAAUGCAUCAUCGGUUAUCAAUAUUUAUUUCAAUAACUUUUGUAUAUGAUUCUCAAUUGAUAAUCGAUAAUCGAGUUAUACAUUUAUCCGUUUUGCUUUUGCAGUGAGUUGAAAAGUUUUUGAUGUCUAGAGCAGACUUGAUACACAAUAGAUAAGAUCGGAGAACGGUCCGGAUAGAUAAAUAAAAUUUCUUCAAUGAAUCUUUUUUACUACUUUUAUUUAUUUUUCGGAUUUGAUUUUAAGACGCGAAAUUGAAUUAAGAACAUGCUUUUCUGCAGUGUGGUUUUUCAAAAUGUUAACCUUCUUCAUAGCAUGGAGUGGAGCCUAGAAUUAUGAUUUGGUGAUCUCUAUUAAUCUUCUUCACAACAUGGUUUUGUGUAUAUGAACAAAAUAGUAUGAAUUCUGUUUUUUGUAAAUUGCUAUAACAAACACUAACCACUAUUUACAUAGAUUCAAUCUGAAGAAAAAAUAAAUAAUAAUAAGUAAUAUAAAAUCUAAUCUUUAAAGAUAUUCUAAGAUGCUUUAAUAUAAUAUCAAACAUACUAAAGAUAUUUUUGGAUAUUUUAACGGUUUGAUCUUCAUGUUAUGUAAUCUUUUGAGGUUUUAUUUGGUUGUUGGUUUUGUUCUUAAUGUUUGCUGUUCUUUGUUUAUUGAUUGAUCUGCUACUAUUAUCAAGUUUCUUUUGUCAAUUGUUUUGUGAAACAGAUGCAUGAUUAUCACCUCUCGUUGAAUUGUGAAUUGAAAACAUGUACUUGUUUACUGUAGUAUGUUUGGAAACAAUGAACUUCAAUUAUGAAGCAAUCAGGUUUAUUUUUGUACACACUUCUUCGAUUGUGAAUUAUUUUCAAUUAAUUUAUUCUCUGUGGAGUUCUAUUGUGCAAUCUUCUCGGCAAGUCAAUUUUGAUGACAAGUUUAUUCAGGUGUAGUGAAUGUUGGUAUUGAGAAGUUCAGUUGUAGGGUUUCCUUAUGCCAUCAAUACAUUUAAGUUUUUGACUUGUAAUCUGACAGUGUGAAAGUUACAAAAUUCUGGAUAAAUUGAGAGGGAACAGCUUUGUGAAGCUCUCUUCCUAACUAUGAUCAGGGACCCGGUUUGGAUGAUUAUGCUACACUUUAUUUAUUCAUAGCUUUUUCUACAACUAUUUUCACAUCGUGAUUUUAUCGAACAAGUAUGAUGUAUCAUCUGGUGUUCACAGGGUGCCACAAAAAUCUUUCUCAAUCACCUUGUUAACUUUUCUGUCUGAAGUGGAUAAAUUAAAGAUGACUUCCUCAAUCACCUUGUCAUGUUUUGCUUUCUGCGGUAUCAUCUAUUGUUGGGAUUAAUUUGGUGAUGUGAAUUUAGAUUUUAACAUCUCUUCAUACAUGAUUCUUGAUUAUUCCCUGCUACCUUGGAAGAGAUUAUCCGAUAAUGGUGAUUCAUCCUUGGGAUAUAAUUGGUCUGUAAUAUAUUUAUAUGUAUAUGUAUAUUUUUUCCCGAAUAAUUAAUUAUAUUUUGAUCAUGUUCAAGAUGGUGUUGAUUGUGUAUCCAGAUCCUUUGUACUACUCUAGGAUAGAUUACAAGAUUUUGGAAUGACUCUUUGGCCUUCCCAAGAUGAGGAAUUUUGGACAACUGGAUAUAAACCUGAUUCUGAUGAUUUGUUUGUUGGUGAUAACUUAACUUUGUUGGGGAGGUUUUCUAAAUCUUUAUUACUGUUUUGUUGUUUUUAUUGUGAUUUGUGAUUUAUGAUGAUGAUGAUGAUACUCCUAAAAAGAUACCCUCUUCAUUAUAGUGACCAAAGGACUCGUCUGUAUUUGGAAGAAGCCAAAGUCAUGUCAUUUCAUAUGGGUACAUAAUUGCAAAUUGGAUGGAAAUUUGGUCAACUGAUCUCUUCUAAGACGCAUCUUUACUUUUCAGUGUUUUUUUAUUUUUAUACUCAACACAUAAAAGGUCAGUUCCUUUGAGUUUUCUUUGUGGUUGUUAUAGGGGACAGAGUCUAUAAAUGUGGUUGUUAUAGGGGAGAGAGCCUCUAUAAAUGUGUGGUUCACUACGGAACCCAUGGCAGCCAGAGAGGUUCACAUACUUACUGUUCAGCUUGGGAUUUUGGAUAGUGUCAGAGUUUUUGUGUAUAUGUAUCGGGAAUGUACGUAUGAAUGAAGCAUGAAAGAGGAAUCCGUGACAACUUGUUUUGGCACCAGAAUAUGCAAUUGGCUGCUGUUGAUGUGCUUUCAUUUGGUUAUGUCUACUCUGACUAUGCAUUCUUCAUGUUUCUUUAUAUAUUUUGAGGAUAUAGUUUAGUAUUUAGUUUUCUUGAUUCCAAGGACCUGUUUUUGCUUUGGUAUUACAGAGGGGAGAGCUGUGAAUGUACUUUGGAUUUGAAAGCUUUUAGCCUUUGGAUUCAACGGGUUACUUUUUUCCUUGAGUGUUUGUUCUGGAAUAGGUGUCCUAGUAUGGUGUGGCAGUGCUAGUAUUUAUUUAUGUUUAGAAUUAUAAAUCUGAGUAUUAGCAGUGCAUCUCUUUCUUGGAUAAUCAAGAUAUAAGUCUGUUUUGCAGUGAGUUAAACGUUUGUAGAUACUUGAUACAUUUUGUAGUGAGCUGGUCGAUUUUUGAUUUCUGGAUAUCUGGAACAAUUUGCAAUUAUUGAUGAUAAUGGAUAAGAUUGAUACAUAGAUAUAUAAUCAAAUUUCAUCAAUAAGUCUUUCUUUAUUACU
This 4163-nucleotide long non-coding RNA is filed under the name Trifolium pratense (red clover). Its description in RNAcentral is "long non-coding RNA (TPRA_LNC002322)". Lineage: Eukaryota; Viridiplantae; Streptophyta; Magnoliopsida; Fabales; Fabaceae. The record is from RNAcentral.